UGAGGUCAAAUGGUCGCCCACCGGUGGCAACUUCAUGUGAGCACCACAUUUUAUUCCCCUCUUCCAUCUCUCUCAAUCUCCUCUAUUGUAGGCGAGUCCGGUGGGGAUUGCCCGAACCACAGUAGGCGCGCACGCAUGCGGUUCAUGGGUGUGCAACUUCUUGUACACUUAGUCUAGUGCUGCAGUUUGAUUUGGAGGCGAUGCCAACCAUGACUCUAGAGGGAUAAGGAAGGUCACCGAAACCCAUAGUGCAACUCCCUCGUUGUUUAGCAUGCAGUUCGGUUCUUUUUUUGUAUUCAAAUUUACUGUGUGUCGAGGGUGCAAUUUUUUCCUGGUUGAAUCUCCGACGAAGUAUAGUGAUGUUCCAUUACAAUUAUUUUCUGUUGGUAGUAUAAGAAAUUCAGAACAGUACUCUCUUUUGAAGUCCACUACUCCUAUCCGGACAGCUCAUUAUAUUUUUAUUUUCAGAGUGUUCAUGCAAAAAAAGGCGAGAGUGAGUGUGUAAUUAUUCAAAAGAAAUGAGAUGUAGUUCAUUUGUAUGAACACUUAUUUUCUCUC
This 558-nucleotide long non-coding RNA is filed under the name Hordeum vulgare. Its description in RNAcentral is "long non-coding RNA (HVUL_LNC007328)". The record is from RNAcentral. Lineage: Eukaryota; Viridiplantae; Streptophyta; Magnoliopsida; Poales; Poaceae.